UGGGGAAUAUUGCACAAUGGGCGCAAGCCUGAUGCAGCCAUGCCGCGUGUGUGAAGAAGGCCUUCGGGUUGUAAAGCACUUUUAGCGGGGAGGAAGGCGUUAAGGUUAAUAACCUUGGCGAUUGACGUUACCCGCAGAAGAAGCACCGGCUAACUCCGUGCCAGCAGCCGCGGUAAUACGGUGGGUGCAAGCGUUAAUCGGAAUUACUGGGCGUAAUGCGCACGCAGGCGGUCUGUCAAGUCGGAUGUGAAAUCCCCGGGCUCAACCUGGGAACUGCAUUCGAAACUGGCAGGCUAGAGUCUUGUAGAGGGGGGUAGAGUUCCAGGUGUAGCUGUGAAAUGCGUAGAGAUCUGGAGGAAUAACGGUGGCGAAGGCGGCCCCCUGGACAAAGACUGACGCUCAGGUGCGAAAGCGUGGGGAGCAAACGGG
RNAcentral lists this ribosomal RNA (429 nucleotides) under Chloroflexota bacterium. RNAcentral describes it as "Chloroflexi bacterium partial 16S ribosomal RNA". It matches the Rfam family "Bacterial small subunit ribosomal RNA", at positions 355 to 776 of the family's 1533-position model. The record is from RNAcentral. Lineage: Bacteria; Bacillati; Chloroflexota.